This 218-nucleotide long non-coding RNA is filed under the name Elaeis guineensis (African oil palm). Its description in RNAcentral is "long non-coding RNA (EGUI_LNC031572)". Lineage: Eukaryota; Viridiplantae; Streptophyta; Magnoliopsida; Arecales; Arecaceae. The record is from RNAcentral.
UGCCCCAUCUAUUCCUCUCCCUUUCCUCCACGUCUGAGCAUCUCUCUCCUAUCUCUUAUUUGCUGAAAAUCAGAUUUCAACAAAGAGAUAUUGAAGAAGCUCUUAUCUUACUGAUCUUCUCAAGGAGUUGAGAAGGAUCUUCCAUCAAGUAGAGGUUCCACAAAGGAGCUAGCACCCCGGAGAGCCAGUUGGUUGCUGAUCAGCCCUUUACUCCAUGU